RNAcentral lists this ribosomal RNA (440 nucleotides) under uncultured bacterium. RNAcentral describes it as "partial 16S ribosomal RNA". It matches the Rfam family "Bacterial small subunit ribosomal RNA", at positions 338 to 795 of the family's 1533-position model. The record is from RNAcentral.
CCUACGGGUGGCAGCAGUGGGGGAUAUUGCACAAUGGGCGGAACUCUGAUGCAGCGACGCCGCGUGCAUGAAGACGCCCCUCUGCGCGUUACGCCCUUUUUGCAGGGAAGUAAGUCUCGGUACCUUUAUACUACUCCACGGCCAACUACGUGCCAGCAGCCGCGGCACUACGGAGGAAGCCAGCGUUAUCCGGAUUUACUGGGGGUUAAGGGCGAGUAGGCGGGAUGACAAGUCAGUGGUGAAAAUUAUGGGCUCAACCGAUAGAGUGCAUUUGAAACUGCGGAUCUAGAGUGAUGGAGAGGCAGGCGGAAUGCACGGUGUUGCGGUGGAAUGCGUAGAUAUCGGGAGGAACACCGGUGGCGAAGGCAGCCUACUAGACAAUAACUGACGCUGAGGCACGAAAGCGUGGGGAGCAAACAGGAUUAGAUACCCUAGUAGUC